GCUCGGGUGGUGAAACUGGUAGACACGCGGGACUUAAAAUCCCGUGGGCAUAACAGCCCGUACGGGUUCGAUUCCCGUCCCGAGCAC
RNAcentral lists this transfer RNA (87 nucleotides) under Flavobacteriia bacterium. Its description in RNAcentral is "tRNA-Leu(taa)". It matches the Rfam family "tRNA". From Rfam's summary of the family: Transfer RNA (tRNA) molecules are approximately 80 nucleotides in length. Their secondary structure includes four short double-helical elements and three loops (D, anti-codon, and T loops). Lineage: Bacteria; Pseudomonadati; Bacteroidota; Flavobacteriia. The record is from RNAcentral.